AACCCUUCCUGACGCACGGGCUACCUAAAUAUGAAAUUCCUUCCUUCCACGAGCAUUGAAUGAGCACCUACAGUAUACCAGUCAGAGGGUCCCCACGGCCAACGCACUAAGCAUUACGUCGUCAUCAUCAUAAGUCAGCCAGACGCUGCCUGGGCUGCAGCCCGCAGAGGGCACGGCAGGGGCUCCAGGUGGAACAGUGCGCGGAUAGAGGGGGGAACCUUGCUGCAGAACAUCUAAGAUGUUAGCCUGGGGAGGCGGGGAGACAAAUGGAAGGUGAGGAGCCACGGAUGAGCUGGACAUCCUGAAAGGCCUUGAGGCAUGAGGUGGGUCCUCGUCCAAGGAGCUGGAAAUUCGUCUCUGUCUUCCCUGUCGUCUGUCCUAAGUGGUCUUGGUAUUUUCAGUCCCAUCAUGCCUUGCCCCCCAGAAUUCUCUUUCGGAUGUUGGGAGGAAGGAUCCUUGAAGUGAUCCAGAGCAAACGCUUCCUUUACUUGAGAAAACCAAGGACCGGAGAUGUGAGGAGACCUGCCCGGAGCCACAGACCUGCCGUGGGAGAGAUGGGACCAGACCCUGUUCCCAGAACGUCCAGGCUCACCUUGCCUCUCCUGAGUGACCGCUGCGACCACACUGUCUCCUUCUGAUACUUCAUAAUAUAUUCCCAGGCUCCUGGCACACCUUCCAGGCCCCACGUGGAGACAGCACCCACACCGGUCUAACCCUUACUGAAUGACCAGGCCCUGAUCAGCCACCGUUGCCUGGAGCCGUGCAGCCUGCGGGGAACAAGGGACUACAGCCAACAAUCUGGAGUUCUCACCUUGGCCUUGCUGCUAAACCAACCCAAGCCACAGGAUGUCCCCAGUGACUUGAAUUCCUCCAUCCAUAGACUGAAGCUGUGUCUGACCUAUAUCCCCAGAGUCUGGGAGAGGCUCUCAUUGACCACUUAAGAUGCACUGCUGUGCUAGGUAUGGCACUGGGUACGUCUCUACCACGUGCUGCACUGGUUUUACUACAGUGCCCAUCACUAGCUGUCACUUUCCUGUUCAUUUGUCACUUGGCUUAUUCCGCGUUGUCUAUUGCCCAUCUCCUCCUACUAAAGUGCAGACUCCUUGGACACAGAAGAAGCGUCUCCCCUGUUUGCUGUUGAAUCCCUGUGAAAGACUGUCCACCCUUCAGUGAGCUAGCUGUCUGCUGAAUCAGAUGGGAUAGUGCAUAUAAAAACAUCGCGUGCAAUAACA
Long non-coding RNA from Leopardus geoffroyi (Geoffroy's cat), 1232 nucleotides. RefSeq lists it as uncharacterized. Lineage: Eukaryota; Metazoa; Chordata; Mammalia; Carnivora; Felidae. The transcript has 3 exons. The record is from RefSeq and is a predicted model, not a curated record.